UUUUUUUUUUUUGAAACUCGGGUUCACGUUUGCUUUUACUUUGGUUUGUUAUGCUUUUUUUUUUAGGAAAUUUUGGUUUGUUAUGCUAGUCAUUUGAAAAAUAGAUGUAAAAAAUUCUUGAGUUUUAUUUCUCUGAUUUCGACACGACGCACGAGUGAGCCAACUUGGAUUCGCAAAAGAGUUGUCAACAGGUAAAAAAGUAAUUUCAUUCUCUAUUUCAUAGCAUGUUUUGUUCAUAGGGCUGUCUAAUUGGUUAUCAGGUUUUGAAUACAAUGUGAACAAUAUUUAUAUUUUCGUUAUUUCAGAGAUAGAUCCAAGAUUUAUCGAUAGGGGCUGAACUUGUUAAAAUAUGAAACUUGAAGAUAUUGCACAAAGUUCGAAGGUGGUAGUAGCCUUCAAGCCAAAUUUUUAUGGAUAAUCUGUACAGUUUAUUUUUGUGAUGAACUUAAGAUAGAAAUCAAUCACUUAAUAUAAUAGUAUAUAAUUAUACUUUUUUUAUUGAUUCGAUAAUAGAUACAUUUGUG
Molecule: long non-coding RNA, 524 nt
Filed under: Salvia miltiorrhiza (redroot sage)
Lineage: Eukaryota; Viridiplantae; Streptophyta; Magnoliopsida; Lamiales; Lamiaceae
Description: long non-coding RNA (SMIL_LNC014348)
Source: RNAcentral